UGAUGGGAACGGAUGUUUAAAAUCUUUGCGGAGGUUGAAAUUCAUCUUUUUAUAAAGAUGGCCUUCUAACAAGCAUAAUAAGUAACUACUACAUUUUCAUGUUUUGAAAACUGAUUUUUUUAAUAUUUAAUUUUUAGGCAAUUAUUGAAGGAAUUCAGCAAGUUUUUACUGAUUUACAUACUUUGGGUAAGUGAGAUGGAAACUCUCUUCUUCCUUUCUUUGUCAUUUCACUUAAUUAUGUUAUGUAAGUUGAUCAUCGAAAAGGUGCUACAUUUAUCAUUCUUUCAUUAAAUUUAUUCCUCUUAUUUUAUUAGAGCUUAGUUUUUCGUGUUUCAUAUCAUACGUAGCUAGCUACAAUCUUUGGAAGAAAAUUAUUAUAGAUAAUAAUGGUCAUAUCUAAGUAUGUUGAUUACCUAAUGUUUUAUUGAAUCCAUGUUAGUAAUGUUUAGGUACACUUCUUAAAUUUAGAGCAAGAGUUCCUUGAUAUGUCAUAUACCAUCAGAUGCUAUAUUAUUUUAAUUAGUGUUACAUAAUUCAACAUAUCUUAUUUUCCAAAACAAAUAACUAAAAGUUAAAUGAAAAGAGUUAGUUGUCACCCUUGUAUUUGUAUAGAGAAACAUAUAUUUAGAUAUUUUAGUCUAGAAGAUUAUAUUUGAAAUCCUUCUUUUCAUUUAUUUUUGGAUGCAAAAGUAAGCUUUAUAUAGAAACAUAUUAAUCAAUACAAGAUUUAUCAUAUUUAUAAAAAUAUAAUGUGAUAAAUAUUUAUAUCGACAUGAUAUUAGACUUAUAUAAAUUUUAGAUCAUAAUAGAAGACAAACGUGCAGCGCACGUUUUCAGAACUAGUCUAGUAUAGGUAGGAAUUGAGAUAAUUUGCUCCAGAAAGUUGAUUGUUUAAUAUGUAUCAGCAGGAUGUUUAUAGCAAUUCAUUUAUGAUCUUGUGACAAAUAUCAGUCUUCAUCUUAGUUGGCUAUUACGACACACUUUUCUUGUCUAUUAACAUAUGUUCUCUCUCACAUCUUGUAGACUGAAAUAUCUCCACCAUAGAAGUCGAUGGAGAAUACAUUUAAUGAUUAAAGCGAAUGAUGCUCUCACAAAUGUAAGUUUUUCUUUGUCCUCAGAAGCUUUCUAUUUUUGUUUACUUCCCUUUGCUUUUCCUUUGUUAAGAUCUUCUUGAGCAGUAUGGAGUAUUUAUUGCCACUAUGAAGUCGAGAAAUCAUCUUCAGUUCGAGAUAAAUUUAAUUUUAGAUAACCAAUAAAAAAACAAAGGUGAAAAAAUCUUUAUAUUCGUGUGGGAACACUGUAAAAUGAAAUCUAAUAUACAUAGGAAUUAAAAUAAUCUGCUCCACAAAAUCUUGUUCUUUCCGUUUCAGUGAGUUUAGAGUUAUGCACAUGUUCACUAUUGAAUUCAAAGCUUUAAUAGAAUUCAAAGGUGUACAAUACACAAGGUUUGUUUCCUAUCUAUCAAAAAUAUAUAAAAGUUUGCCUCCCAAUAAAUUUAAUACCUAUAAACAUCAGCACUAUUCAAGUUUUUAUUAAUGAUUAUUGGAUAUCAACUUAGCAGUUUUUUUCUUUGUCAGGAUUUUGGUAACAGUAUAUGUAAGCUAUUACCGCUCUAGCUCAGUUUGUACCAGGAAAGUUCUGCUGCAAUUCUCUAUUGAAUAGACCGUUGCUACAAUGUGGUCUGACAGCAAAGUGUAAGUGAAUAAACAUAGUUUCGCAGUUUUGUCGCUGACUGUAAAUAUUAAGUUUAUGCUUUAAACUGUUUAAACAUAAAUCUGUGUGAUCAUUAGAAUGAUGUAUAUCUUUGAUAUUAAUGAUGUUUAAUAUUCUUUUCAAAAUAUAAAUUAUGUUGUGCUUAUCAUCAGACUUGCUGCAAAUGGGACGUACAGCUCUGAUGGAACCCAAAGGUACAUGAUAAAAAGUUUUUAAGUAACACACAAGAGAGAUAUUGACAUUAUGGUCAUAGAUUAUAAGGAAAGAUAUUACUUUUUCAUUGUUAGGAUUUUGACAAGGCUCGGUGCUCAUUUGGGAAGUGAAAAGUUUCGAAGGUCUCUCUGUUCAAGUCAAGAAGUGAAAGCUAUUGAACUAUGUAUGUAAUAGCUUGUAUUGUUUACUUUGGGUCCUAUGCUCCUUCGACUUUAAAAUGCCUCAUUUGGGUCUAAUGUCACUUCUUUUUAUUCCAACAAUCAAUAUCGUUCUUGCGUUUUGUUGAUGUGGUAUAUGCCUAGGCUGCUACAAUGUUGUUCUUUUUACUCUAGAUACCAAGACGGAAAGCAAGAGAUGACACAAUUAUUGAACUUUCUGUAUUGAGAAAUCGGAAUUUCUGGAAAACUAUACUAGUGAAUUAUAAUCCCGGGAGCCUUUCCCCUCAAGCUCUCAAGAAAAGGCAACAAAUCGUCACUCAAAUAAAUUAGUAGCGGGUUAUUUGGGAAGCGAAAAGUUUCGUAGGUCUCUCUGCUCGAAUUGAGAAGGGAAAGUUGCUUUCAUCUUAAUACCAUAUGGUCUGAUACAUCACUAAUCUCCACUGCUCGCAAUGGAUAUAAAUUACUGCUCUUUGCGGAUUGAGACUGACACACAAUUAACUAAUCUGGCUCAUAUAUGGACACGAGUCUCCACUCAUCUAUUAUCUUUGAUUAUAUUGGACCACCUUCGACACGAACCGUCCCUGUAAAUUUUCCAUUCAAGUUUAUGUGAAUAAACAAAGCAUUUGUGUUGAGUUCGAAAGAGAUUAGGGCGUCAUGCGCUAGCUUACAAUUGCAUAUUAUAUGUUAAUAAAUCAGAUAACAAAAACUUGUACUAAAAAUCAAAAUAUUAUUAUAUGAUUUGACCAAAUGACCUACAUAUUUAAAAACUAAUAAAAAGACAUUAAAACUUGAAAGAUUUCAAAGAAAUCUUGAAGAAUUAUUUGGGAAAUUUUUCUCUAUUUUCACUGAACCAAAAUUGUACAAAGAGUUGCUUACUUAUCCAUGUAAACUAAGGACUAGAAAGUCAAUUUAAAAGGAAGUAGGUAACCAACUCUGACUAUAUACUUUACAGCUCAUCAUAUUCUAAAAUAAUCUAAAAAAUCUCUUCUUAUACAAUGUGAAUUAAUAUAAGCAACGUUGUAUAUUGAAAUGGGCUGCUGAAAUGGCAUUUGUGUGCUUCAGAUGGGAUGAAACCCAAAGAUAAAAUAUCAGCCCCAAGAGACGUGCAUUCUAGAAUAAGGCUCUCAACCCGUGUCCGAAUAAAGCUCAUCUUCUUCAUUCUUGGUACUGCCAGUCGGUGAUCAUGAGUUCCAACAAAACUGUAGAGAGUAAAGACUAUCUGAACGAUUAUAUUGUGGAUGUUAUUAUGUUCAUAGUGUGAGAAGUUGGGUUUUCUAUUUAUAGGACGUUUAGAAUAAACCAAAUAUGGAAAAUAAUUAUAUUUUUUUUUCAGAAAAAAUUCAAGCAUUUAUGUUAAUACUUUGACUUUUCUUUUAUGAAAAUAAACUUCAAAUAAGGUAAAAAAAUCAAAGCAACCAAAAACAAAGGAAAAGAGAGAGAUUACAUAGUAUCACACAUAGCAAGGCAGCAAGGCUAAUAUGACACAAACAAGACCAUAGUAGAUAAGUAUGGUGCACGUCAUGGUUUAUUUUGUAAAACUACGUAUUAAAUGAAUAUAUUUUUUAGAAUUGAUCUAAUAUUACUUGUUAUCCAUGCUACUAAAAAUAAGAAGUUCAAGUCAUCAUCAACUAAGUUUUGAGUUGGUAAGAAUCACUGAUACUACAAAUUUUCUUGAUAAAAGAGUGUUUACAACUUAUUAAACCUCAUAGGUUUGAAAGCCAUGAAUCAAAUAAGAAUAAGAAGUCUGGGACCCAAUGGCAAUAUGUAACUCGUAAGUUUUGAAAGACAUUUUAUUAGAGAGAAAUUUACGUUGUUUCUAUGUUUGUGUUUUGUUGGAUGUUUGGUGAAAAAAGUAGAUCAUCUCCUAUUGCAUUCUUUAGUUGGUUUAUAACACAAUGAGUGAUUCAACAUCUAUUUAUAUUUUUGAUUUAGAAAUAUUAUUAUACACUUGUAGAUAAAACUUCCAACAACAUAGAAAUAUGUUAAAUCUGAUUUACUUAUGCAACAAAUAUUAUAUCUUACGGGUAGAACGAACAAGGAACAUGAAAACUAAAUGUUUUUGUUAUCGGGUUGACUAAACAGGAUACAGAAAAAUCAUGUCUUUGAAUUGCAUAACAAAGAGUGUACUGAUAUUUUAUACUUUAUAAUAUCAUCACACGAAUUUUAUACUGAAGAUGUGUGCCUUUUUGUUGUCAAUUUUUUUGCAGUGAUACAAAAGCAGAUAGUGAAGACAGGUCAAAGAUUCUACUUUGAUGAAUUCUUUUUCAAUUCUUCAUCAAGAGACGAUUUAGAGUUUUUGGUAAAACUUUCUCUUUCACCAAGAGUCUCCAGCAAAAUGGGCAAUAAUUAGUUUAUCAGGAGUUCAAGUAUAUCUCGAAUUGGUUAUGGGUUAUUGCAAGUGCUUUUGGUUUUUACGUUUCUUUUCUAAUUUUUGUGGUGUUUGAAACAGAUCAAAAAAUAUUUUUAAACACUUAUUUUUAGACCCAAAAGAAGUAUAAAAAUAAGCUAAAGGCCAAAGGUAGGUAUUCCCAACUUAUGAGUUUAGCUUUUAGCUUAUAAGAUACUUUUAAAAAGUUAAUCCAAACACCCUCUUAAACUUUUAAAUUAAUUUUAAUUAAUAAGAUGUUAGCUAUUUGUUUAUAAUAUAUUAUCUUGAUAUGGUUGUAAAAACUUUAUUUAUCAAUAUGAAUAUUUGAAUUGUUUAUUUCAAAAUUCUAAAAAUAUUUUUGAUAAAAAGUAAAAUAGGUUCUCUUUCUUUAUUUUUAAUUUAAAUUUUGAGUUUUUUUCUUACAAAAAGGUACAAAAUUUAUAUAAAAUAGAAUAAAAAGGCAACUUUAAAUUAUUAUUAUUAUGUUUAUGUGUAUAUAUGUAUACCUGGACACGUUCGUUGCACGUGUAUUCCAUAUUAAUUCUUAUAAAUUCAUAUUAUUUAAAAAUAACAAACUUUUAUCUUAUACAUAAUUCAAUAACAGUUUCUUAAAUUAAAAAAAUAUCAAUAUAUAGCUAAAGAUAAAAUUCCUCAUGUUCCUAAUCUCAUAGCACCUUUGUAAAUGAUAUCUCUUCGUGUAAUUUCAUCUCCAAAUAUAUUGUUUGCCACAUUUGUAUCAUUUCUCAAUAUUUUAACAAUAAAAAAGAAAAUAAUAUAAGAAGAUACAUUUAAAGAAAGUUUAUAGAACGAAAAGGAAAGUACAUUGAAUUAAAUAUAAAAGUGAGAGAAGAAGAAUAGCAAAUUGGAUAUCAUAUCAAUUGUUCUAAUGGCUCAUAAUAGUGGUUUAAAUUCCACAAUGUCAUUAUAAGUUGUUCAAAAUUGUAAAUGAAUAAAAUUAUUAAUGAUAAAAAUAGUGUGGUAGAGAAAGAAAUCAAGUGUGUGAGGCAUCUGAAAAUAAGUAAAUUCAUUAUUUAGAGCCAAUAUAUCUUAUAUCAUACUCUUUCAAAUAUGAUUUCUUUUUACACCUUUAAAAUUACUUAUUUUCUCUUUUUUCAUUUUCUUCUCUUCUGAAGUUGAUUUGCAAUCAAUCUCUGACGGGCAAUAUCCAUCUUUGUAAGUUGACUCCUAAAUAGUAACAGUGAAGAAAUGUAUUUUUCUCCAUGCCUUGAGAAUUCUUUUUUCUUUUCUCCCCAAUUAUUUUCUUUCACAAUCCACAAACUUUAGAUUUUGUAUGCAACUUAUAAUUGUUGUGAGCUUUUAUAAGGUGUAGUAAAAAUGAGAAGUCUAUACUUAAGUAUUACUUAUUAACAAUGGAAUCUCAAAGGAUCAAAACAGAUCAUAAUUACAACAUGCACUAAUUAUUUGGCAGAUGAAACAAUUCUUCCGAUUAUUACUCAAUUCAAUGCAAGUGAUCAGAUUAUAUUUAACAUAAAGCUUUGUUAUUAAUUUCAAGUUCUUCAAAUUCAUUAUGUUUUUAUCAUCUAAUGUUUAAUUAAUUAAAUAAUUUAUAACAUUUUAAUUUAGAAUAGGGGUAAAAUGGUAACCAAGCAUUUAUAUAUAUAUAAAAUAAAUCAACGAAGCAAUGUCGAAGGACACGCAUAUAGGGUGUGUCCGCUCCUGAUUAAGUUAAGGUUUUAUAUCUUUAUGAAUAUUAAAUUAUCUUCCAAAUUCUUUUUUUUUGGGGGGGGAGAAGGGGUCUACCGCAUAUGGCAAUUUAGAUCUCUAAAAUCCGCACCAAGAAGGGAAAAUCGUUGAAUCUUUUAAUUUGCUAGUAUUGUUCGCUUUGUGCUAGGCGCACACAAUUUUAAAAUAUUAUAUAAGAGUGAAAAUUAUUUUCGCUUUCCAACUUUGCUGUAAAAAUUGAACUCCUUUUCAAUUUUAAACAACUAGUAUACGUGCUCGUGUGUUGCGCAGUUAGUUGAUAAAUGCAAUUGUAAAUAUUAAUUUAUUGACAAUUUUAAAGUUUAACUUAUUAUUAAAUAAUAUUAUCAAAUAAAUGCUUCACAUUAAAUAUGUAUACAUAAUACCUUUAACAAUAUAUCAAAAUAAAAAAUAAAAAAUAAAGAUUCAAAUCCAGGGAAUUAAACACCAAUCAUCCUACAAAUAAAACUUCAAAUCAUUGAAAGUUAUAAAUAAAAAAAAGGAAAAAUAAUCAUCAAAAACUAAUGGCUUGCAAUAAUUAUUGAUAAGAGAUUUUAAUGCUUAAAAAGUUGCUAUAUCUAUUUAUCAAAUUUCACUGAUAGUGUUAAUUCUAAGUAUGAAAUUGAUUAUAGUGGCUUUGUCUCAACAACUACAAAGUCACAUCCAAAGAAGAAGGAAAAAAGUUAUAUUGUCAAAAUUUUUUAUGCAUAAAUAGAAAUAGAAAACAAAUAAAUUAUUUUACACUUUUGAUAAUAAGUGUUUCCUAAUUAUCUUUAUGUAAAUAUUUCAUUAACAUAUUCAUUUAUAUAAAAUUUAUAAAAGAGACUUCUUUUAAUACUAAUAAACAUAAACAAAUAUUAAUUAAUAAGCAUAAACAAAUAUCAACUAUUAAUAAAUAACUAAAUGUGUAUGAAUCUUUUUUAGUAAUUUGUAUAUUUAGUUCGUGAUUUAUAUUUUUUGAUUAGUUAAAAGAUCAACUGAUAAAAUAAAGUAUUUAAAUACUUAUGAUAAUAUGGUUAAACAUGAGGUAUGUAUCAAAAAAAAUAAUCUUAAAACAUAUUUAAUUUGACGUAAUUAUUUAAAAUAAUCAUAAUUAUUUAUUUCAUGAUUUUUUAUUUUUUAUUUAUUUAAAAUAAAUACUGAAAAAUAAAAUGUUAUUAACACAAAUUUUUAUUGAUUAUAGGACUGUGUAGUAAUGUAUUGGUUAUGGGGAGUUAUAAAAAUAUUUUUUUGUCUUUUCAUUAACGUAUUCAUUUAUAUAAAAUUUACAAAGAGACUCCUUUUAAAACUAAUAAGCAUAAACACAUUUUAAUUUAAUAGCAUAAAUUUAUUAUAAUUAAGUAAUUUAAUGUGGUGAGAAUGCAUGCUAAUUAGUACUAUGUGUUAAGAAUUUAUGUGUAAAAUACAUAUCGUGUAUUAUUUUUAGCUCCCAAUAUUAAACAGAACUUUAUUUCAUUCGAUUUGGACUCGGAACAUCUAAAACAAAUUAAGUUUUUUAUUUAUCUUUUUUUUCCAGAGAACUCAUUUUAUUGUUUCAUCAAUGACUUGAAUUCAUGUUUUUAGUGGAGGUACAGAGUGUUUAUCAACUGAGAUAAAGUAUCUAAAUUUUAACUAGUUUUAGAUAAGUAAAUUUUACCGCAAAAAAAAUCAAAUAUUUCAUAUCUGAAUACACAAUCAAAAUUAAAAGAUUUGACCUUUCAAAUUUUUUUUGUGUCUCGUAAACUAAAAAAACGAAUAAUAUUUAAGUAGUUAUGGUUCCUCAUGAAUAAAUUAUAUACGGAGUUCAAUAUAUUUCAUAAACGACACAUUUCAUUACAAUAACAACAUAUUCUAUAUAGUUCUACGUAUAAAAUGUGAUUUGAAAAUAAUAAAAUGUACGUAGACCUUACUCUGCUACGGAGGUAGAGAGGUAACGACACAAUUGAUCAUCAUUGCUUAGAAAAACUUACCUAAUUAACAUUUAAAAAUUAUUAUAGUUAACUAAUUAAUUGUCCUCUCAUCUGUUCCAAUUGACUGGACAGAUUUUAGUUAUAAUAUGUUAGUGAAAAAUUACAAAAUUACAAGAUUACAAUUGAAAAUAAAAAUGAAGAAAUAAAUCUCUUCAGAUUGAGGCGUGGAUAUGUCGCUCUCUUUAAGGAGAUUCAAGCCCACUUAAGCAAAUGUUUUUCAUCGGUCCAACAGUAGUCCUCUUUACUUGUCCCCUCCAGGAUACAACAGCCUAAUCACAAAGUGUAACUCAACAAAUUUUGGACAAGAGUUGAGUUCAAACCUCCACAAAAAGAACACCUUCCUUCAACUAAUAAAAACUCUCUUUUUGGACAAACUUUAUGCACUAUGAUCUAUAUUUUUCUUGUGUGUCAACCAAACAAAGACCACCACUAUUUAUAGUUGCGGAUGUCUUCCUAGCAAUGAAUAGGAAGAUAAUGGGUAGUAAAUAAUGAAGAUAAAUGGUAUUAGAAAUUACAUAUGUUAUAAGGUAUAAUGGAGAAAUAAAGAAUGAGAUAACAAAGAUUGAAUGAAAAAGAAUUAGUGGUCAUGGUUGACCACCUUCUGCCACUAACAGUAACCUCCAAUGGCCAACGUUUUGUAACCAUCAAAUAAAGGGUAAUAAUGCCUAAAUAACACAAGUGAGUAAUGCCUAAGGUUGCAGCAAUGAAAUAGAGAUUGCUCCAACACUUGUCAUUUGCCUCUCUCCCUAGAGAAUUUCGCUUGUCACUCUCCCAGAUCUCGCUCGUCACUCUCCCUCGCCCUCUCUCACUUUAUACAACACAAUGUAUAAAUUGCGUUUGUGUUUGUAUAAAGCGAGAGAAAACUGUAUAUAAAAAUACAAAUACAUAUAUUUUUGUCCUAUACACUAAUAAUUAUACAAAUACAGAUAUUUCCCUACCAGUUCUCUUUUGCCUUCCUCUCGUUCUCGCUUUAUACAAAUACAAUGUAUAAUUUGUGUUGUAUAAAUCGAGAGAGAGAGAUUUGAUAUACAAAUGUUUAUUUUGAUUCAAUUGUAUACAAAUUCAAAUUUUAUGCAGAUAUACAAACACAAUCAAGGAUACAUAUACAUAGUAGUUACAUAUAUGCUGGUCAACAUUUUAAUAUUAAUAUUUUAUAUAUUAAUUUGUUAAAAGUUUGGAGUCAAAUGGUGCCUUUGCUGUCAAGUUAUCCGUUGGUGGUAAUUCAUUUGUCUUAACAAUUGGAAAUAUAUUUGGAGCAUUACUCCAUUUGGAGUAAGUGCUGAUGUUACUGACUGUUUCUCUUGCAGCAUCGUUUAGUGGCAUCUUGGCCAUAAGUUCUCCAUAUUAUUUCUCCAUUAUCUCACUCUUUAUUCCUCCAUUAUACCUUGUAACAUAUGUAACUCGUAAGAUCACUAUCUUCACUAUUUACUACACCAUUAUCUUCCUAUUCAUGGCUAGGAAGACUUCUUCUAGUAUAAAUAGUGGUGGUCUUCAUUUGGUUUGGGAGAUACAAUACACACAAGAAAAAUAUAGAAUGCAUAAGUUUGUCAAAAAGAUAGUUCUUAUUAGUUGGAGGGAGGUGUUCUUUUUUGUGGAGCUUUGGACUCAACUCUUGUCCAGAGUUGUUGAGUUAUACUUUGUGAAGGCUGUUGUAUCCUGGAGGGGACAAGUCAAGAAGAAGUACUGCUGGACCGGUGAAAACAUUUGCUGCAGUGGGCUUGAAUCUCCUUAAAGAGAGCGAGAUAUCCGCGCCUCAGCCUGAAGAGAUUUAUUUUCUUCAUUUUAUUUUUCAAUUGUAAUCUUGUAUUUUUGUUAUCUUGUAAGUUUUCACUAACAAUUUUAAGGAGAUUCAAAAUGGCUACAAUUGAAAAAAAUGCGGAUGUCAAGAUGGGAGACCUUAACAAGCCAUUUCGGUUCAAUGGUAACCAUUUUAAGAGAUGGAAGGGUAAAGUACUUUUCUACUUGAGUCUUCUCAAUGUUUCUUAUGUGUUAACUGAGAAGAAUCCUAAUAAAAUAGACAUCACCUUUAUGAAUGAUGAUGAAACUAUUUCUCAUCUAGAGAAAGUGGAAAAGUACGAUGGUGAUUCCUAUAAGUGUCGGUAUUAUAUUCUUAAUUGUCUAUCUGAUAAUUUUUAUGAUUAUUAUGAUAGAACUUACUCUAGUGCAAAGAAAAUUUGGAAAGCAUUGCAGAGUAAGUAUGAUACCGAAGAGGCUGGAACGAAAAAAUAUGCAGCUAGUCGAUUUUUUCGUUUCCAAAUGAUGGACAACAAAUCAGUGGUAGACCAAGCGCAAGACUUUAUAAUGAUUGUUGGAGAGCUUAGGUCCGAGGAGGUUAAAAUUAGAGAUAACCUUAUUGUUUGUGGCAUAGUGGAUAAACUUCCACCUUCUUGGAAGGAAUUUCAAAAAACUAUGCUCCACAAACAAAAGGAAACCUCUCUUGAAACCUUGAUAAUGAAAAUCCGCAUGGAAGAAGAGGCAAGAGGCCAAGAUGCACUUUUACAAACAGAAGAGAACAACAUCACAACGAAGGUAAAUUUAAUUACUUCAAAUAAUGCUACUCCUGAAUCUCACAAAAAUACUUCUUUGAAGCCUAAGAAGAAAAAAUUCAAGAAAAAUAAUGGUAGACCUCCCAAGAAAAAUAAUGGUGAAAAUAACCAAGCACAAAAUCAACAAGUUCAAGACAAAGGACCGUGCUUUGUUUGUGGCAAGAGUGGGCAUAUUGCUCGAUUUUGCAGAUUCCAAAAAUGUGGUCCNNNNNNNNNNNNNNNNNNNNNNNNNNNNNNNNNNNNNNNNNNNNNNNNNNNNNNNNNNNNNNNNNNNNNNNNNNNNNNNNNNNNNNNNNNNNNNNNNNNNNNNNNNNNNNNNNNNNNNNNNNNNNNNNNNNNNNNNNNNNNNNNNNNNNNNNNNNNNNNNNNNNNNNNNNNNNNNNNNNNNNNNNNNNNNNNNNNNNNNNNNNNNNNNNNNNNNNNNNNNNNNNNNNNNNNNNNNNNNNNNNNNNNNNNNNNNNNNNNNNNNNNNNNNNNNNNNNNNNNNNNNNNNNNNNNNNNNNNNNNNNNNNNNNNNNNNNNNNNNNNNNNNNNNNNNNNNNNNNNNNNNNNNNNNNNNNNNNNNNNNNNNNNNNNNNNNNNNNNNNNNNNNNNNNNGUCUAAUCAAUAUGUNNNNNNNNNNNNNNNNNNNNNNNNNNNNNNNNNNNNNNNNNNNNNNNNNNNNNNNNNNNNNNNNNNNNNNNNNNNNNNNNNNNNNNNNNNNNNNNNNNNNNNNNNNNNNNNNNNNNNNNNNNNNNNNNNNNNNNNNNNNNNNNNNNNNNNNNNNNNNNNNNNNNNNNNNNNNNNNNNNNNNNNNNNNNNNNNNNNNNNNNNNNNNNNNNNNNNNNNNNNNNNNNNNNNNNNNNNNNNNNNNNNNNNNNNNNAGUUUUAGGGUUAAUCCCAAUGAUUAAAAUACAUUUUGAAAUGUGUGAGGCUUGUAGUAAAGCCAAAAUCACUAAAAGGCCUCAUUUUCAAGUUGAAAGAAAAACUGAUUUGUUAGAUUUAGUUCAUACUGAUAUUUGUGAACUUGGUGGAAUUUUAACUCGUGGAGGUAAUAGAUAUUUUAUCACUUUCAUUGAUGAUUUUUCUAAGUUUACAUAUGUUUACUUGAUGAAAAAUAAAAGUGAUACUUUUGAAAAUUUCAAAACUAUCUUCAUGCGGUUGAAAAUCAGUUUGGAAGAAAAAUAAAAAGAAUUAGAAGUGAUAGAGGCCGUGAAUAUGAGUCAAAUGAGUUUAAUUCUUUUGUUAGAUCAUUGGGAAUAAUUCAUGAAACUACUCCUCCUUACUCUCCUUCAUCUAAUGGAGUAGCGGAAAGGAAAAAUAGAACUUUGGUUGCCAUGCUUAUUGAGUCACAUGCACCUUUAAAUUUUUGGGGUGAAGCUAUUUUAACUGCUUGUUAUGCGUUGAAUCGUGUGCCUCAUAAAAAGUCUAAAUUGACACCUUUUGAAUUUUGGAAAGGUUACAAGCCAAGUUUGGGAUAUCUAUUAACGCAAUUUAAAUUAAAAUUCUAUUCAACUGUCUCCAAAAGCAUCACGUCUUGUUUACACUUGAAAUUAAAAAAUUACCUUAUAAGUUGUUAAAAAGAAAAUUUUCGUAGUAGAUUUUCAUGUGAGAGAUCAAACACUUAAACAUCAAUUAAAGAAUAUGAUGCAAAAAAUCAAGAAACUAAAUGGAAAGAGCUUUGAUCUUCAAGGGGAUUAAAACUUGUGAAGAAGAGUCCCUAUUACAUUACAACAUCAAUUUGACAUCAAAGUCCUAUAUUUCUUAUUAACAAUUUGCAUUAAGCCUAGUGUUUUAAUGAAGGACAAAAAGUUCAAUCAACAUUUCUAGAAAAGGGUCUUAUAGUAUAAUUGAUUGAUAGAUACUAGAAUUGCUAAUGUGCUUCUUCAAGGAACUCUGUCACUUAACAUUGAGCUCCAAUGAACAUUGAGAUGUUAUCCGCGAGUGUGUUGCACACAUGUACGUAUUUGGCUGAAUUUUCCAAAAAUGUAAAAAUAGCACAGCUGAACCAUGUAUUGAUGUUUAAUUAAAUGAUACAAGUCUUUGGUCACUAAAUGGUCCCCGUUUUUUACAACCACCAAUUGAGAAAGCAAUGAAUAGGCACUAAUUACAACUUCUUGUUUGCAAAUUUACUAGCAAAAGAGAGAGAAAUCAGUGAUCAUUCUUGUUUGCAAAUUACUCUUAGCUUUAACAGGUAAAGUGAAAUUGUUAGUAAUUUAACAUACAAACAUUCAUCUCCUGAAAUUUCUUAAAAUCAUUUUGUGUUUUGAUUUGCAGAUUUCAGUAAAAUGGAGGUUGGCUUAGCAGUUGGUGGUGCAUUUAUCUCUUCAGCUUUGAAUGUUCUCUUUGAUAGGAUUACUCAUCUGACCUAAGCAAGAGGGUGCUGCAUAACAUACUGCCAAGACUAACAUCCUUAAGGGCAUUAUCAUUGUCAGGUUAUUACAUUGAGGAGUUGCCAGAUGACUUGUUUAUCAAAUUAAAGCUCCUCAGAUUUUUGGACCUUUCUCAGACAUGUAUUGAAAAGUUGCCAGAUUCCGUUUGUGCAUUGUAUAAAUUGGAGACACUUCUCUUGUCAUUUUGUACCUCUCUUGAAGAGUUACCGCUGCAGAUGGAAAAGUUGAUUAACUUGCGUCAUCUUGACAUAAGCAACACUUGGGUCUUGAACAUGCUGCUACAUCUGAGCAAGUUGAAAUGCCUCCAAGUGCUAGUGGGAGCCAAGUUUCUUGUAGGUGGUUUGAGAAUGGAAGAUUUGGGUGAAGUAGAGAACUUGUAUGGAUCUCUAUCAGUUUUAGAGUUGCAAAACGUGGUUGAAAGAUGUGAAGCUGUGAAGGCAAAGAUAAGGGAGAAGAAUCAUGUUGAGCAGUUAUCAUUGGAGUGGAGUGAAAUUAGUAGUGCUGACAAUUCACAAACAGAAAGAGACAUUCUUGAUGAGCUACGCCCACAUGAAAACAUAAAAGAAGUCGAAAUCACCGGAUAUAGAGGAACAAAAUUUCCAAAUUGUCUAGCUCAUCAUUCGUUUCUUAAGCUAGUAGAAUUGUCUCUUAGCAACUGCAAGGACUGUGAUUCCUUGCCAGCACUAGGAGAACUUCCUUGUUUGAAAUUCCUUUCGAUUAGAGGGAUGCAUGGAAUAACAGAGGUGACACAAGAAUUCUAUGGCAGUUCAUCCUCCAAAAAGCCUUUUAACUGUCUUGAGAAGCUUGAAUUUGAAGAUAUGCCGGAGUGGAAGCAAUGGCACGUACUAGGAAGUGAGGAGUUCCCUAUACUUGAGAAGCUUUCAUUUAGAAAUUGUCCGAAGUUGAUGGGGAAGUUGCCUGAAAAUCUUUCUUCUCUGACAGAAUUGAGAAUUUCAAAGACGCCUCUUUUUGACGAGGCUGGACUGUUUGCAUCCCAACUUCAGGCUGACAGAAUCGUUGUAUUAUCUAUUGAGUAUUGUAACUCUGUUACCUCCUUACCUUUUAGGAUACUGCCCAGUUCCUUCAAGAGAAUAUGGAUAUCUCACUGCCAGAAAUUGAUAUUGGAGGAGUCAGUUGGUUAUUGUAACAUGUUUCUCGAGGAAUUGACACUGCAAUUUACAACAACUUCAGAUCAAGAAAUGCACAAAACUGGUGAAUGGCCGAAAGGAGUGGUGUUUACAGACACUCCCCUGUCUCAGAGAGUUAAGCAUCUACCAUGAUGGCGGUGACGAAGAUAUCCAACAUUGGGAGUUGCCUUCCUCUAUUCAGAGACUUACCAUAGACAAUCUGAAAACAUUAAGCAGCCAACAUCUCAAAAGUCUCACCUCUCUUCAACAUCUACGUAUUACUAAUUUACCUCAAAUUCAGUCACUGUUGGAAGAAGGCCGGCUUCCCUCCUCUCUUUGUGCGCUAAGUUUAGAUUACCAUCAUGAGCUCCAUUCACUAAGUCUUUCGCACCUCACUUCUCUUCGACGUCUACACAUCACUGCUUGCCCUAAUCUCCAAUCACUUUCCGAAUCAGCACUGCCCUCCUCCCUCUCUCAGCUGAUCAUCUUUGAUUGCCCUGAUCUCCAAUCACUUCCAGUAAAAGGGAUGCCCUCUUCCCUCUCUUAUCUAUCUAUUUCCAACUGUCCAUUGCUCAAACCACUCCUAGAAUUUGACAAGGGGGAAUACUAGCCAAAUAUUGCUCAAAUUCCCAUCAUAAAUAUCCAUGGGAAACACCUGUAAACAAAUGAUGCUUUGACAAAUGUAAGUUAUUCUUUUCCCUCAGAAGCUUUUUAUUUUUGUUUACUUCACUUUGUUUUUUUGCUAAUUCUUUUCUUUUUUUUUCUAUCUUGCCGAGCAGUGUGGAGCAUCUAUUGCUCAAACAACGGCUACUGACCAAAAAUUGCUCAUGCUUCCACCAUAAAUGCUGAUUGGGAGAACCUGUAAUAAUUAAAACGAGUGGUGCUCCUACGUACAGAUUUGUAAGUUAUACUAUUUCCUUAGUAUCAUUUGAUUUUUUGUUACUCCUCUUUGCUCGUCUGUUAAAUAUUUUGGACCAGUGUGUAGAAUCUAUUACCUCUGUGAAGUCGAGGAAAUAUCUAUAGAUCAGGAUAAAAUCUUUAUAUUUGCAUUGAGACAUUGUGAAAGAAAUCUAGUAUAGGUAGGAAUUGAGAUAAUUUGCUCCAGAAAGUUGGUUGCUUAAUAUAUGUCAGCAUGAUGUUUAUAACAAUUCAUAUAUUCUUGUGACAAAUCUCACUUUCCAUCUUAGUUGACUCUUAAGACUCCCUUUUCUUGUCUGUUAACCUAUGUUCCGUCUCAAAUCUUGCAGACUGGAAUAUUAUUUGCCAUCAUGAAAGUUGUUUCGCAUUUUUCAUUUCUUCUACAAAGAUAAAUGGGUCCAAGAAAUGCAACCUCACUUUCUCAAUCAGGAAACCAAGACCUUGAUAAGAGUUGCAUCAAUCUUGAAAUUUAAAGAAAUUGAGAACGACUUUGAAUGCCUACUUCCAUUAUUUACGCCAUGUUGUACCACAAUAAUUUCAAGUUUGAUGCGACUACAUAAUUACAUCAGUUUUUUUUUUUUUGGUAAUCAAAGAUCCAGAAUAUUGCAUCAGUUUUUUGGUCUUGAUAUUCAGAGAACUUUGGAGAUUAUGAAGUUUCCUUUGAGAACUUUGGAGAUUAUGAGUAAUAGUUUACACUGUCAUAAAUCAGCGAAAUAAAUUUACUUCGUUGGCACUCUCAUCAGUCAUCAGCCAGCGAAACAAAGAAACCAACACACCCAAUCUAAACCUGAAUUUUUUACAAAAUCAACACACCCAAUCUAAACCUGAAUUUUUUCUGUUGCAUUUUAAUGAUCCGACUAAAAAUAUUUAAAAGAUAGUUACUAAGUUUUAGUUUUUUUAAUGUAUUUAUAAUGUAAAGCUCUAUUUCAUUAGUUGAAAGCUGCAGAAGAUAAUGUUUUAAUGUCAAGUGCAAACACUUGGAGUUUUCGUUUGCCAAAUGAGACUCAUAUAAUAUGAGUUUUCUUAAUUAAGUAUUCAUAUUUUUGUAUUUCUAAUUAUGCAGUAAAAUCAAGGUGUUCAUUUAGUUCUCACUUUAAUUUAAGGUUGAAAAUGAUGAAUUUGAUUGGGGAAAUAGUGAAACAUUUUGAUUAUUCAUUUGCAAUAAAAGGAAAGAUACUUGAAGGUUUCUUUUUGUUAGAUUUUCUUCGUGGAAUUUGCUUAUGUUAGCUUUUUGGAGUUGUUCAGAAAUACCAUUAGAUCGGUUGAAGGCUAAUUGGAUAUAAUUGUCUUCAUGACGUGUUUGCUAAGUUUCUGUCGCCUAAUUCAGAUUCCACUGGAUUAGUUUCUACCCAAGAUUAUGCAUAUAUUUGGUGUAAGGUUGAAAAGUAAAAACCUCAAAUGAUAUAUGUAUUUUCUUUUUUAAAAAUACAAAGUUGCGAUGAAGAUUGAAAAUUUUGAUGGUAUUAAUUUUUAUAUGGAUCACCAUUGAGAACUUUGCCUGAGGUAUUAAUCUCCAUUUUCCCUAUUUAUAAAUGUUUCCUGUAGCUCCUAAUUGUGAUGCUUCAUUUACACAUUUUUUACAUUAUAUCUUAUUACAGGGAUAAAGUCUGUCAAGAGUCAAUUAGAUGUUACAGACUUGCAACUACUUGUUGUGCGUUAUAUAUAUAAUUGCAUAUUUCUUGGAUAUCAAGUAUUGGAUUGGUUUCUCAUUGCUUAUUGACUUAUACUCUUACGCGUUUUAAUUUCACAUCUCAAUUGCGAAAGAAAGAUAUCAUAUGUAGCUUGUGCAAAAUAUGAUGUCAUCUUACGUACUACUCUUUGUUGCAAUUUACCGUCCAGAUAACAUGACAGUUAAUUUUGUGGAAUUCUCCUUUGCUUGUCCUAUUAGCAUGAUUUGGUUGUUGAUCCAUUGUUGCUGUAGGAUUGUUCGAUCUUGUCUUUGUUGUUCUUAAACUUCGGUCAACAAAAAUCAUGAAUGGUCAGAAUAAUGCAAUUGAUUCGCAUCAGAGAUGAAUCUAAGGCUAAUAAACGGAUAGACGUAUCAUGAUGUAUUAUGACUGUUAGAGGGUGAACGAUUGAGAAGCCUUCAGUUCUUGAUUAAGCCUUCACAUUGCUUUGUUCUUCUAGCUUCUUCAGUAUAAAAAAAAUUGCUUGUGAGCCAUAUCUUGAAUUUGACACUUCUUCACCUGGCAGUAAGCUUAGAAAUCACUUUUUAUAGUCAAAUAGAACUAUAAAUAUAGACAGUGUAUGGUCUGUAAUAGAUCUACUUGUUUAUACUCAUCAUUAUGUCGAAGGGUUGUAAAGAAGAAGAUAUGAUACAGAACUUCAGAGAUCUUUCUCUAGUAGUCUGUAGUUUAUACGAUUAUCUUAAUGGAAGUCCCAAUUGACUGCUGCAUUCUAACCCUACCAUUGGUAGCCUAACUUAUACUUCAUAUCUUUAUCUUUCCUGUUAAAGAUACUUAUAAUUAACACUUGCAUUAUUUUUUACAACCGAGCUAGAAUUUUAGCUAUUUGUGUUAAAAUUGUGUAUUUGCAUUAAGAAAUCUACUUAUUGCUCAGAACCAAUUACUUUCUUUUUUUUGUAAAAUUCAGAAUUCAUAAACUCAAAUGCAAGUUUCACAAAUGAAAAGUCAUGUGCCUUUUAACUUGGAUUUUGGAGCCUACAAAAUAUGUGGAAAAUCCUGAAUAAAUGGGUCAGUGGAAUAAUAUGUGAGUUGUAAACCCAAAGAAGAUCAAAUGAAAUAUCCCAAUCUUGUAUUCCCAAGAAAUUGGAGAGAUUUUGUAAUGAAAGAAGAAAAUUGUGAAGCGGCAAUUAGGAAAGAAGAGAGAGUACACAUUCAGUGAACCAAAAGAGUGACAACAAAAGUCUUUUUCUAAGAACAUUCCCUUUUUGUAGAUUGUUUCCUAUAUUUCUUAUCCAAAUACAGUGUAUGCACAAGAGUGUAGCUAAAGCAAUACUGAACUAGUCACGUAUCAGGAUUUCUGAAGCAAUACAGCAUUCAAUUGUUGUCUCAGUUAGAUUGCUCCUUUUUUACAAAUGUAACCGUAGGUUUUCCAAAAUGAUAGCUUGAGUCCCUUUUCAACAAUCAUGUAAUGCUAAUUUUUUCUGUUGUUUUGCAUUUUCGUCUUUGCUAUUCGUAAGCCUGGGAUAAACUUUUGUCAUCUGGAAUUUGAAAAGUUAUGUUUUACUCCUUAUGAUAUGCAGAUAUGUAGUUGCAGAGAUAAAGCAUAUGACAAUCUGGCUCGGAAAGAACAGUUUGACAUCCAAGACAGUGAAGAGCUUAAUAGAAUGAAGGAAGAAAAUGUCAAUCUGCAAGAAAAGCUGAAUAAUACAGGUAUUAUUAAUUGAUAUUCCAGACGGUACAAAUUUGUAAAAUAUAAAAAAUCGCUUGUGAGCCAUAUAUGAUAUAUUGAAUUUUAAACUUCUUCACUUGCAAUAAUCACUUUCUUAGUUAAAUAAAACAAUAGUAUUUCAUUUCUUUUCUAGAGGAAUCAUACAUGUACAGCUAUAAACAUAGAGAUAUGUGUGCUGGUCUGUAAUUGCAAUACGUGGAUUGGCCAAGAAUUCUAAAAAUUCUUUUUAAUUGCUUUCAGUAAGGAGGUUGUGAUUUCCAAGUCGUACAGCUGUCUACUGUGGCUUCCUUGAGAUGAAACAUGACUUGCUGCAAAUGGAAUGUCAAGCUCUAAUGUACCCAAAGGCCGGAUGAGGACAAAACCAUGGCUGUUCACGCUUCAACUCAGUUUCCUGAGUAUACGCAUAGUUUGAUUGAUGUUGUCUUGGUGUUCCCGAACAUAAUAUCUGUGUGAUAACAGGAAGGGCUGAAGGUGGCUUUGGCGGCAAGAAAUAUGCCAGUGAGUACCCACAAGGAUUUUCGUUUAAAGCUACAGAUAAAAAAGGCCUUUUUGUUUAAAGUUGUUGCUUGGAAAUAGUUUUGCUCCUUUCAGUCUUAUGUUUUGUUUAAAAUUUUUGUAACCAAUCCUUCUUCGCGGGGGUGGGGGGAUUGAGGGGGUGACUGCAUUAUCAACCACUACAGUGAUUAGUAUAUUUCAUAAUAUUUAAGGUAUAUUCAUUGUUCAGUUAAGAGAACACAAGAGCUCAGCUUUUUAGAGGACCAUAAAUAUCUAAGGAUAAAUGAAAUGGGCAAAAAAGUUCCAUAUAUAUCUAUGUUGACCACAAAAACAAAGAAACUCUGCUCCAUCGCAUACCUUCACUUCCUAUGAACCGUCCAAAGGAAAGAUAUAUUCGAUUGAACAAAGAGCUAAGCUGCCUUUCAACGCAAAAGGCAUUAUUACACACAUAAGAGGGGAGAAAACAGGAAAAGAACUAUCAUACAAUAUGGAGAAAAAAAGCUCAAAACCAUUGUGCUCACGCAUAAGCAUGGAAAUAUGGGCUUUCAAGGUAGAAAAGUUAUGGCUGCAUGCCAACAAGCUUUAUCGGCAACUGGAUUAAACUGAACAACAAUUAAUGCCAGAGUUGUUGUCAGUGGAGUCCACAUUCCAUACAUUCUCAAGCAUGUUAAGAGUGACUCUGUGGUGGUAGUAAGAGAAUCGAAAAAUAAAUAAGAAUGUCUUGUUAUAUAAUUUCAUAUAGUAAGAUAGCAAGAAAAACUAACUUUCGAAAGAAGUGUUUUUGCCUCGAUAAUUAUCUAACAAGAGUGUCGAUGCAAAAGUAGUUUUUUUUCGUGAGAAAAUACCAGAUUAAAAAAAGUAACGUAGACGUCAGUUUAAGCUUAUAGGGCAAUUGAUGUGGGCCCACCCUCAUAUUUUCCACGUCAAUAGUCAAGAUGACAUCAUUAAUUAUUUAACUCUACACCAUACUUACUUGUAUGGAAUAUUUGUAUUAAAUAUACUCUUAUAGUAUCAUUUACUAAUGAAUAAUUUCUAAUAUAUGAUGUCAUUUAUAAAAUUUCAAAUAAAAGUAUUCCAAAGUAGAGGGCUAGAAUCAAAGGGUAGGGGUUGGGGUACAAAAAUAAAUAAAUAUAUGAUGUCAUUUAUAAAAUUUGUCUUCGCUAUUUUCAUUAAGGAAAUUGUUUUUCCUCAUUUUUAAGUGACUUAAUUUCCUGUUUCUUUUCAAGUCUUUGUUUUUUCGUUAAGUGAUAUGUUAGGCCCAAUUAAGCACUAAAAUGAGCUGUUAAAAGCAGUAGUGCAUAAAGCAAAAGUAAUGAAUCAUAUUUCUUAGUUGGUAGGUGUUGUCUUUUAUUGUUUUGUUUAUUUAUUUUGGUGGGCUGUACACUUAGGCAACCCACAUGAUUUUGUAUAUAUUUGCUCUUAGUUUAAUAAAAAUCCUGACCCAUCUGGUCUUUGAUUUAAAAAAAAAAGAAAAAGUAAUGAAUCAUAAAGCUAAAAAUACUUUUCUUUAUUGCCUCAAUUAUUUUCGAAUCUUUGUUUUUUCAGUCAAGAAAAGAGAAUUGUUUUGCUUCUUUCUUGUAGACAAAAGAGAGAAAUCAGUGAUCAUCUUGUUUGGGAAUUACUCUUAGCAUUCAACAGGUACAUAAAGAAGUUGUUAGUAAUUAAUGAUAGAAAAAUAUUUAUCUUAAAAAAUCAUUUUGUUUUGAAUUUGCAGAUUUCAGAAAUGGAGGUUGUCUUGGCAGUUGGUGGUGUAUUUCUCUCUUCAGCUUUGGAUGUUCUCAUUGAUAGGCUUGCUCCUCAGGGCGAUCUUCUCAAAAUGUUUCGGAAGCGUAAGAAUGAUGUUGAGCUCUUAAAGAAGCUGAAAUUGACUUUGCUUGGUCUUCAAGCUGUGCUAAGUGAUGCAGAGAAUAAGCAAGCAUCAAAUCAAUUUGUGAGAGAGUGGCUUAAUGAGCUUCGAGUUGCUGUAGACUCUGCUGAAAACUUGAUUGAACAAGUCAAUUAUGAAGCUUUGAAGCUUAAGGUGGAAGGUAAGCAUCAAAAUCUUGCAGAAAAAAUAUUGAAGCAUUGUAGAUUUUGCAGCCUGUGCUUGGGUGAUCAUUCUUUUCUUAACAUAAAUGAAAAGUUGGAAAAGACUAUUGAAACAUUGGAGAAUUUGCAAAAUCAAAUUAGUGACCUUGGCUUACAGAAACAUUUUGGUUCGACUAAACAAGAAACUAGAACUUCAACUUGUUUGGUUGAUGAAUCUGAUAUCUUUGGUUUACACAAGGAAAAAAAGGAUAUGAUUGACCGUUUAUUGUCUGAAGAUGCAAGUGGAGGAAACCUGACUGUAGUUCCUAUUGUUGGAAUGGGCGGCACGGGUAAGACAACACUAGCUAAAGUUGUUUACAAUGAUGAGAAGGUGAAGAACCAUUUUGGUUUGAAAGCUUGGUAUUGUGUUUCUGAGCCAUAUGAUGCUUUGAGAAUAACGAAAGGGUUACUUCAAGGAAUUGGCUCAUUUGACUCGAAGGAUGACGGCAAUGUUAAUCAGCUACAGGUCAAAUUGAAGGAAAGCCUGAAGGGAAAGAAGUUUCUUGUUGUCCUUGAUGAUGUGUGGAAUGAUACCUAUAGUGAGUGGGAUAACCUGAGAAAUGUUUUUGUACAAGGAGUUAUGGGAAGUAAGAUCAUUGUAACAACACGUAAGGAGAGUGUUGCUCAGAUGAUGUGUGCUGAUCGUUGCGCAAUCACCAUGGGGACUCUGUCUAGUGAAGACUCUUGGGCUUUAUUCAAACGACAUUCACUAGAAAAUAGGGAUCAUCCAGAACUUGAAGAGGUUGGGAAAAAAAUUGCAGAUAAGUGCAAAGGGUUGCCUUUAGCUCUAAAGGCACUUGCUGGUGUUUUACGCGGCAAAUCAGAGGUAGAUGAGUGGAGAAACAUUUUAAGAAGUGAAAUAUGGGACCAGCGUUGUUGGAAUGGUAUAUUACCAGCAUUGAUGUUGAGCUACAAUGAUCUUCCUGCACAUUUGAAGCGAUGCUUUGCUUUUUGUGCAAUAUAUCCCAAAGAUUAUCAAUUCUGCAAAGACAAACUUAUUUACCUGUGGAUUGCUAAUGGUCUUGUAAAGCAGUUUUGUUCAGGUAACAAAUACUUUGACGAGUUGAGAUCAAGAUCAUUGUUUGAGAGGGACCCAGAGUCUGAAUGGGAAUCAGAGAGAUUCUUAAUGCAUGAUCUUAUAAAUGAUUUGGCCCAAACUGCAUCUUCAAAACUUUGUAUUAGGUUGGAAGAGACCGAAGGAUCUGAUGAUAUGUUGGAACAAUGUCAGCACAUGUCCUAUUCCAUGGGACAAGAAGGUGAAUUUGAGAAAUUGAUACCACUCUCCAAAUCAGAGCAGCUGAGGACAUUGCUUCCAACCAAUAUCAGUAACUUUUCUGGGCUAAGCAAGAGGGUGCUACAUAACAUACUUCCAAGACUAACAUCCUUAAGGGCAUUAUCAUUGUCAGGUUAUAGGAUUACGGAGUUGCCAAAUGACUUGUUUAUCAAAUUAAAGCUCCUCAGAUUUUUGGACCUUUCUGAGACACAGAUUGAAAAGUUGCCAGAUUCCAUUUGUGUCUUGUAUAACUUGGAAACCCUUCUCCUGUCAUCUUGUGAAAAUCUUGAGGAGCUACCGCUGAAGAUGGAGAAGUUGAUCAACUUGCGUCACCUCGACAUAAGCAACACUUCUCGCUUGAAGAUGCUGCUACAUCUGAGCAUGUUGAAAAACCUCCAAGUCCUACUGGGAGCCAAGUUUCUUAUAGGUGGUAGCGGUGGUUUGAGAAUGGAAGAUUUGGGUGAAGUACAUAACUUGUAUGGAUCUCUAUCAGUUUUAGAGUUGCAAACUGUAGUUGAUAGAAGGGAAGCUCUGAAGGCAAAUAUAAAGGAAAAGGAACAUGUUGACAAGUUAUCAUUGGAGUGUAGUGAAGGUAGUUUUGCUUACGAUUCUCAAACUGAAAGAGAGAUACUUGAGGAGCUACGCCCAUACACAAACAUAAAAAAUGUCGAAAUCACCGGAUAUAGAGGGACCAAAUUUUCAAAUUGGCUGGCUGAUCCUUCGUUUCUUCAGCUAGUAGAAUUGUAUCUUAGCAACUGCAAGGACUGUGAUUCUUUGCCAGCACUAGGACAGCUUCCUUCUUUGAAAUUCCUUGACAUUAGAGGGAUGCAUGGAAUAACAGAGGUGACGGAAGAGUUCUAUGGAAGUUCAUCCUCCAAAAAGCCUUUUAACGCUCUUGAGAAGCUUGAAUUUGAAGAUAUGCCGGAGUGGAAGCAAUGGCACGUACUAGGAAGUGGGGAGUUCCCUAUACUUGAGUACCUUUCAAUUAGAAAAUGUCCAAAGUUGAUGGGGAAGUUGCCUGAAAAUCUAUGUUGUCUGAUAGAAUUGAGAAUUUCAGAGACACCUCUUUUUGAUGAAGCUCAACUGCUUAGAUCCCAAUUUGAGGGAAUGAAGCAGAUUGCUGAAUUAGAUAUCAAAAUUUGUAACUCUCUUACCUCCUUACCUUUUAGCAUAUUGCCCAGUUCCUUGAAGAGAAUAGCGAUAUCUCAUUGUCAGAGAUUGAAAUUGGAGGAGCCAGUUGGUUAUUGUAACAUGUUUCUGCGGAGCUUGCAACUGUAUAAUUGUGAUUGUAUAGAUGAUAUAUCACCUGAGUUGCUCCCAAGAGCACGUUCUUUGAAGGUACAUGCUUGCUAUAACCUUGCUAGGUUUUUGAUUCCUACUGCAACUGAAAGUCUCACUAUUCGGGAUUGUGAGAAUCUUGAAAUACUUUCAGUGGCAGUUGGAACCCAUGAGUCUGCCAUGACGUCUUUGCAUAUUUGGGAUUGUGAGAAGCUCAAGUGUCUGCCAGAAAUAGAUCUCUUCAAUUUACAAGUCCUUAAGAUCUAUAAUUGCAAGAAACUAGUGAACGGCCGAAAGGAGUGGUGUUUACAGAGACUCCCCUGUCUCACAGAGUUAGAGAUCAGACAUGAUGGCAGUGACGAAGAGAUCCAACAUUGGGAAUUGCCUUCCUCUAUUCAAACACUUAGAAUAGAGAAUCUGAAAACAUUAAGCAGCCAAGUUCUCAAAAGCCUCACCUCUCUUAAAUAUCUAUCUAUUGAUUGGCUUCCCUCCUCUCUUUCUCAGCUACAUUUAUGUUACUAUGAUGAGCUCCAUUCACUACAUCUUUGCCACCUCACUUCUCUUCUAAGUCUACAUUUAAAUUGUCGUAAUCUCCAAUCACUCUCUGAAUCAACACUGCCCUCCUCCCUCUCUCAGCUGACCAUCUCUCAUUGCCCUAAUCUCCAAUCACUCUCUGAAUCGCAUAUAGGUGUGUCUGCUCCUGAUUAAGAUAAGGUGUUAUAUCUUUAUGAAUAUUAAAUUAUCUUCCAAAUUCUUUUUUUUUUUUGGGGGGGGGGGGGGUGGGGGGGAUCAACCGCAUAUGGCAAUUUAGAUCUCUAAAAUCCGCACCAAUUAAGAAGGGAAAAUCGUUGAAUCUUUUAAUUUGCUUGUAUUGUUCGCUUUGUGCUAGGCGCACACAAUUUUAAAAUAUUAUUUAAGAGUGAAAAUUAUUUUCGCUUUUCAACUUUGCUGUAAAAAUUAAACUCCAUUUCAAUUUUAAUAAUCGAACUCCUCCCUUUAUUCUAAUUAAUUUUUUAAAAAUACCUAUUAUACCCUUUCAUUAUCUUGUGACAAAUCUCACUCUUCAUCUUAGCUGGCUAUUACAACUCACUUUUCUUGUCUAUUAACAUAUGUUCUCUCUCAAAUCUUGUAGACUGAAAUAUCUCCACCAUAGAAGUCGAUGGAGAAUACAUUUAAUGAUUAAAGCGAAUGGUGCUCUCAACAAUGUAAGUUUUUCUUUGUCCUCAGAAGCUUUCUAUUUUUGUUUUGUUCCCUUUGCUUUCCCUUUUUUAAGAUCUUGUUGAGCAGUAUGGAGUGUCUAUUACCACUAUGAAGCCAAAAAAUCAUCUUUAGUUCGAGAUAAAUUUAAUUUUCGAUAACCACAAUAAACAAAGGUGAGAAAAUCUUUAUAUUCGUGUGGGAACACUGUAAAACGAAAUCUAGUAUAUAUUCGUGUGGGAACACUGUAAAACGAAAUCUAGUUUAUGCUUUGAACUGUUUAUACAUAAAUCUGUGUGAUCAUUAGAAUGAUGUAUAUCUUUGAUAUUAAUGACGUUUAAUAUUCUUUUCAGAAUAUAAAUUAUGUUGUGCUUAUCAUCAGACUUACUGCAAAUGGGACGUACAGCUCUGAUGGAACCCAAAGGUACGUGAUAAAAAAGUUGUUUAAAUAACACACGAGAGAUAUUGACAUUAUGGUCAUAGAUUAUAAGGAAAGAUAUUACUUUUUCAUUGUUAGGAUUUUGACAAGGCUCGGUGCUCAUUUGGGAAGUGAAAAGUUUCGAAGGUCUCUCUGUUCAAGUCAAGAAGUGAAAGCUAUUGAACUAUGUAUGUAAUAGCUUGUAUUGUUUACUUUGGGUCCUAUGCUCCUUCGACUUUAAAAUGCCUCAUUUGGGUCUAAUGUCACUUCUUUUUAUUCCAACAAUCAAUAUCGUUCUUGUGUUUUGUUUGAUGUGGUAUAUGCCCUAGGAUGCUACAAUGUUGUUCUUUUUACUCUAGAUACCAAGACGGAAAGCAAGAGACGACACAAUUAUUGAACUUUCUGUAUUGAGAAAUCUGAAUUUCUGGACGCAAAUGGUUAGAGAAAACUGUAAAUGCAAUGUAAAAUGCAUAAGAAUCAGGGGAGAUUUUGAGGAGUGAGAUUUGUUUGUGUAAUUUUGUAAUGUUGUUAUUACUAAUUAAAUGAUAUGUGUGUAUUUCAGUUCAUACUGCUUAAAAUUUCUUCAUUUGAGGAUGU
RNAcentral lists this long non-coding RNA (25744 nucleotides) under Solanum tuberosum (potato). Its description in RNAcentral is "long non-coding RNA (STUB_LNC010993)". Lineage: Eukaryota; Viridiplantae; Streptophyta; Magnoliopsida; Solanales; Solanaceae. The record is from RNAcentral.